CCUGGGUCGCCCACGCCAGGUCCCCCUUAGGUCUCCCCUCGGCCUGGCGGCGGCGGUCCCCUCGAGCCGAGACGGGCCGGGGCCGCGCCCCGCCCGGCCGGACCCAGCGCGCUGCCAUCGCGCACUCGGGCCGGGAGCGCCCGCCGCCGGCCGGCCGGUCCCCGGGCGCUCGGGGCCUUCCGCCCCCCGAGGCGUGAGAAAGGGAAGGACCCAUGGCCAUGCCUCGGGCCCUGCGACCCCUUCGCGGCCAGACGAGACGGCGGCCGCCUGCUCGGGCGCCGGGCUGCAGGAAGGGAAGUCAGGUCCCCAGUGCUGGGAGCCAGAGGGGUGCACAUCGACCUACCCAAGACACUUGCCAGGGCUGCGGCUGUAAUUCGCAACGGGACUUCCUUGAUAUGUCAGGCGAUGCUGAUCUGUCCAUGAUGUUCCUUAAUCUAAAGUCACACUCGUCGGAAGAGCCUGUGGCCCUCACGACUACGAAGUGCGCUCUCUCAGCCUUACUCUUCUACAGAAAUGACUGGACGGUUCCUCAUAACCGCGUGCUUUUCCUUCAGAGGAGCCACCACCCCACAUCCCCAAAUUAAGGAAAAACAAAGUCGGUGCAUCCGGAUAAGGAGCUAACCAUAUAAUUAUGAGAAACUCACGGGUUUUAAGAACUGAGUUACAAAAUGGGGCAUUGAAGAGAGGAGGGAACUCAAGAUGGGGAGGGCGGGUAUUUUCAAACGUUUCUUUUUAAACCCAAGGCACUGCAAGGACAAGGGUAGAAAACUAGACGGCAAGGGGUUUGUCUCUGAAAUCGAGAAGGCAAAAAGGCGUCGUAGAUGCUGCACAAAGUAGAGAGAGCUAGAUAAAGAAGGGUUGUGGGGCGUCCUUGUAAAACCCCAGCAGGAACCCAACGUCUAAAACCUCUGGCCGGCAACGCGGACUUAAACUCGGAACGCAAUUUCGGCAAGCGCAGUUUUCCCGCCGGAGCUCGGGUCUGAGCAGUCUUCCUCCUGCGCAGGCGCGGUACCACUUACGGAGCAUGGAAGCGGUGGCUUUUCUGUGCUUAGCAGCGGCGGUCCUAGGAUGGGGCUUCCUCUGGGUUUGGGACUCUUGGGAACGCAUGAAGGGUCAGAAGCCGGCUGGCUUGCCGGGAGAUGGAAACAGGACCCUCCUGGUGAUCGCGCACCCCGACGAUGAAGCCAUGUUCUUUGCUCCCACUGUGCUAGGCUUGGCCCGCCUGAGGCACCGGCUGUCUUUGCUCUGCUUCUCUGCAGGAAAUUACUACAAUCAAGGGGAGAUUCGUAAGAAAGAACUUUUGCAGAGCUGUGAUGUUUUGGGGAUUCCACCCUCCAGUAUAAUGAUUAUUGACAACAGGGAUUUCCCAGAUGACCCAGGUGUGCAGUGGGACACAGAGCAUGUGGCUAGCACCCUCCUCCAGCACAUAGAAGUGAACAGCAUCAACCUGGUGGUGACUUUCGACGCAGGGGGAGUGAGUGGUCACAGCAACCACGUUGCUUUAUAUGCGGCCGUGAGGACCCUGCAUUCAGAAGGGAAGUUACCUAAAGGGUGUUCCGUGCUCACACUUCAGUCAGUGAAUGUGUUACGCAAGUAUAUCUCCCUCCUGGACCUGCCCUUUACUCUGCUUCAGACCCGGGAUGUCCUCUUCGUGCUCACCAGCAAAGAAGUGGCACAGGCCAAGAAAGCCAUGUCCUGCCACCGCAGCCAGCUGCUCUGGUUCCGCCGCCUCUACGUGCUCUUCUCCAGGUACAUGAGAAUCAACUCUCUGCACUUCCUCUGAAGCCUUGAAGAGCUUUCCGGUCCACAGAAGAAAGGGAGAAGAACGAGCCCAGGAAGCCUGGCGCCUGGCCGUGAGCUGGCUCGCCUCCCCGGGGCCGAGGCAGACAGAGCUCUGCUCAUCCAUGCCAAAUUGACAAGCUGAUCUUCAAAUUCAUACAGAAGUGCAAGAGACUCAGAAGCCAAAAACAGCCUUAAAGGACAAAGCUGGAAGAUUCACACAUCCCAAUUUCAAAAAUUACUGCCAAGACCUAAAUGCAAGAGCCAAAAUUAUGUGACUCUUAGAAGGAAACACAGAUUAAGUCUUUGUGACCUCGGAUCAGAUAACAGUUUUUUUUUUUAAUUAAAAUUUUUUUAUGUUUAUUAUUUUCAGAGAGACAGAGCAUGAGUGGGGGAGGGACAGAGAGAGGGAGACACAGAAUCCAAAGCAGGCUCCAGGCUCUGAGCUGUCAGCACAGAGCCUGACGCAGGGGUCAAACCCACAGACCACAAGAUCAUGACCUGAGCGGAAGUCAGACGCUUAACCCACUGAGCCACCCAGGCAUCCCAGUGGUUUCUGAAAUAUGAAACCAAAAGCACAAGCAAAACAAAAAACAGAAAACUUUAUGCUUCAAAGGACAUUACCAAGAAAAUGAAAUGAGAAAAAUGUUUUGCAAAUCAUAUAUCUGAUUAGGGUCUAGUAUCCAGAAUAUAUAAAGAGCUCUUACAAUUCAACAACAAGACAACCUAAGUAAAAAACAGGCAAAAGAUUUGAAUAUACAUUUCUUCAAGAAGAUAUCCAAAUGGCCAACAAUCACAAAAACAUCAUUAGUCGUGAAGAAAAUGCAAAUAAAAAACACAAUGAGGGGCACCUGGGUGGCUCAGUUGGUUGAGUGUCUGAAUUCAGCUCAGGUCAUGAUCUCACAGUUCAUAGGUUUGAGCCUCAUGUUGGGCUUUGCACUGACAGUGCAGAGCCUACUUCAGGUUCUCUGUCUCCCUUUCUCUCUGCCCUUCCCCCACACACUCUCUCUCUCAAAAAAAAAAAAAAAAAAAGAAUCAACAUUUUAAAAAAUUUAAAAAAAAACAACCCACAAUGACAUGCUACGUCAUAUCCACCAGGAGGGCUAUGAUUAAAACAGACCAACAAACACUAAAUAACAAGUGUUGGUGAGCAUAGGGAGCUAUUGGAACUCUCUUAUUUCUGAUGGGAAUGUAAAAUGGUGUAGCUACUGUGGAAAACAGUUUCACAAUUCCUUAGUAACUUCAAGAUUUCCUAGAGGACCCAGCAAUUGCACUCCUAGGUCUAUAUCCAAGAGAACUAAAAAUAUGUUCACAUGAAAACUUGUAAACGAUUGUUUAGAGUAGCCUCAUUCAUAAAACUCAAAUGUCCCAUCAACUGAUGAAGAGAUAAACAAAAUAUGGCAUUCUGUUUAUUAUUCAGCCAUAAAAAAAAUGAAGUCCGGACACAGUGAGGAUGAACUUUGAAGCCAUUAUGCUAAGUGAAAGAAGCCAGACAAAAAAAGGCCACAUAUGGUAUGAGUCCCAUUUGUAUGAAAUGUCCAGAAUCGGCAAAUUCAUAGUGACAGGAAGUAGAUUAGUGGUUUCCAAGGCUUGGGGGUACAGGAAAGGAGUGAUUGCUAAUGCACGCGAGGUGAGGAAAUGUCUGGAAAUGAUAGUGGUGAAGGUUGGACAACCUUGUGAAUAUACUCAAACCUAGGAGUUAAAAAGAGUGAAUGUUACGGUAUAUGAAUUAUGUCGCAACUCAAGAAAUAGUGUGAAAAAGAGAUUACAGUAAAAUGUUCUAGUUCACUCUAAGGAUACAUCACUCUGUGAACCCGGUGAUACUCUGUCUGACCUGCCAGCCUAGUAAAUACAAAAUGCUAGAGUAGAAAUCUUAUUCAUAGUGGCGCCUGGGUGGCUCAGUUGGUUGAGCGUCAGACUCUUGGUUUUGGCUCAGGUCGUGAUCUCACGGUUCACGGGAUCAAGCUCCACGUCAGGCUCGGGAGCCUGCUUGGACUCUCUCUGCCCCUCCCCUGCUCUCUCUCUUUCAAAAUAAAUAAACUAAAAAAAAACAAAAUUAAAAGAAAUCAUUCAUGUUUUAACCAGA
RNA transcript from Acinonyx jubatus (cheetah), 3865 nucleotides. It is a transcript of the gene named phosphatidylinositol glycan anchor biosynthesis class L, with no coding region annotated. The record is from RefSeq and is a predicted model, not a curated record. Lineage: Eukaryota; Metazoa; Chordata; Mammalia; Carnivora; Felidae. The transcript is spliced from 8 exons.